This 99-nucleotide microRNA precursor is filed under the name Apis mellifera (honey bee). RNAcentral describes it as "microRNA ame-mir-3742 precursor". Lineage: Eukaryota; Metazoa; Arthropoda; Insecta; Hymenoptera; Apidae. The record is from miRBase by way of RNAcentral.
UCUUUUUAUCCGUGUCGUUAAAAUAUAUUUUAAACGACGGACGAAUCCCCCUCCGCGUUUUAUUUAUUAUGUUUGCCAUAGAUUCCACGGGAUUAGGAA